AUUGAACGCUGGCGGCAGGCCUAACACAUGCAAGUCGAGCGGUAGAGAGGUGCUUGCAUCUCCUGAGAGCGGCGGACGGGUGAGUAAUGCCUAGGAAUCUGCCUAGUGGUGGGGGAUAACGUUCGGAAACGGACGCUAAUACCGCAUACGUCCUACGGGAGAAAGCGGGGGGAUCUUCGGACCUCGCGCCAUUAGAUGAGCCUAGGUCGGAUUAGCUAGUUGGUGAGGUAAUGGCUCACCAAGGCGACGAUCCGUAACUGGUCUGAGAGGAUGAUCAGUCACACUGGAACUGAGACACGGUCCAGACUCCUACGGGAGGCAGCAGUGGGGAAUAUUGGACAAUGGGCGAAAGCCUGAUCCAGCCAUGCCGCGUGUGUGAAGAAGGUCUUCGGAUUGUAAAGCACUUUAAGUUGGGAGGAAGGGUA
This 425-nucleotide ribosomal RNA is filed under the name uncultured bacterium. RNAcentral describes it as "bacterial SSU rRNA". It matches the Rfam family "Bacterial small subunit ribosomal RNA", at positions 30 to 454 of the family's 1533-position model. The record is from RNAcentral.